Mauremys reevesii (Reeves's turtle) is the source of this 470-nucleotide long non-coding RNA. RefSeq lists it as uncharacterized. Lineage: Eukaryota; Metazoa; Chordata; Testudines; Geoemydidae. The record is from RefSeq and is a predicted model, not a curated record. The transcript has 4 exons.
UUCACAUUCAAGCAGAAGCUGGGGUGUAAGGGAAAGACUUCCUAUUCAAAGGUCAUGAUCUGGUUAGCUCCCCCCCUUCCUUCAAUUUGGAUGCAACACCCUUUAGCUGCCUACAAAUAACGUACAGUAGAACCGCAUUAUUACCAACACCAGAGUUACGAACUGACCGGUUAACCACACACUUCAUUUGGAUUUGACAAGGAAGAGUUUUGAUUUGAAGACUUCACCCAUGGUUCUUUUUUUUUUUCCUUUUUUCUCCUAACAAUAUAUACAAUGGAAGACGUUGAUUUCUUUUUUCUGCUUUUUGUAAGUUUCUGUACAACAGAUGAGUUCAAUUUGAUGCUUGUAAAUACCAUCUACAGAUUUCCAGUGGUCCUCUGUGGAGGGAACAAACAAAACCAUGGGACCUUCACCUCAGCCAAUGGACAUGACAGGGUGAAAUAUUGACAGAAUAAACAGGAAUUAAUAGA